Molecule: ribosomal RNA, 253 nt
Filed under: uncultured bacterium
Lineage: Bacteria
Description: partial 16S ribosomal RNA
Rfam family: Bacterial small subunit ribosomal RNA
Source: RNAcentral
UACAGAGGGUGCAAGCGUUAAUCGGAAUUACUGGGCAUAAAGCGCGUGUAGGUGGUUUGCUAAGUCAGGUGUGAAAUCCUCGGGCUCAACCCGAGAACUGCAUUUGAUACUGGCAGGCUAGAGUGUGGUAGAGGAUAGUGGAAUUCCCGGUGUAGCGGUGAAAUGCGUAGAUAUCGGGAGGAACAUCAGUGGCGAAGGCGGCUAUCUGGACUAACACUGACACUGAGACUCGAAAGCGUGGGGAGCAAACAGG